Molecule: non-coding RNA, 1952 nt
Organism: Pelodiscus sinensis (Chinese soft-shelled turtle)
Lineage: Eukaryota; Metazoa; Chordata; Testudines; Trionychidae
Source: RefSeq, a predicted model, not a curated record
UGGCGGCGGUUACAGUCUAACAAGUAAUUCAGAGUUUGCGAUGUUUUUCAUAUGGACACUCUCACUCUGGAACUUUGGUCCCAUCUUCAUUCUAAAAUUUGUUGUGUUGUCCAGAGCUCCUUGAUGCUACACCUAUUCAAAUACGCAGUCGUCAGAAGAGCAGCCGAUAGAGGAGCUUGUGAGUGAAUGUAGGGAAGGUAAAAAGUUUGUUUCUCUAUUUACAGCUGUCCCUUCCUUGCCAGUCACCUGACCCUGGCCAUUCCCAUCAUCGGGGGUGUCCUGUUCUUCUUUGUCAUCAGCUGUCUGCUGCAGACGAGCUUUAGAGACCCGGGUAUCCUGCCCAGAGCCACCCCCAGUGAGGCUGCUGACCUGGAGAAACGGAUCGAUAGCAUGGGCACGUCCACCUACCGCCCGCCCGCCCGCACCAUGGAAGUGGUUAUAAACAAAUAUGUGGUGAAACUGAAGUACUGUUACACCUGCAAAAUGUUCCGGCCCCCCAGGACCUCUCACUGCAGUGUCUGCGACAACUGUGUAGAGCGGUUUGAUCACCACUGCCCGUGGGUGGGCAACUGUGUGGGGAAGCGCAACUAUCGCUACUUCUACGCCUUCAUCCUCUCCCUCUCCUUCCUGACGGCCUUCAUCUUCGCUUGUGUCAUCACCCAUCUCACGCUGCGCUCUCAGGGAAAUGGAUUCCUCACCACUUUGAAGGCAACACCAGCGAGUGUGCUGGAGCUGGUGAUAUGUUUUUUCUCAGUCUGGUCUAUUUUGGGCCUCUCAGGUUUUCCCUCCAACCUGACGACAAAUGAAGACAUCAAAGGGUCAUGGUCAAAUAAGAGAGGCUCGGAGUUUGCCAAUCCCUACAGCCAUAAGAGCAUCCUUACCAACUGCUGUGCAGUGUUGUGUGGGCCAUUCCAUCCCAGUUUAAUAGACAGAAGAGGAUUUAUCCAGCCUGAGGCCGGGACCCCGUCCAGUCCCAAGAGUGAAAUCCCCUCCUUUGGAGCCAAGACUGACACCAGCAUGGAGGAUGCCUGCCAAGACUUUGCCAUUUCCUGCACAGCCUGAUGGGAUCUAACUCCCCCUCUCUGGAUGUUAGCCCUGCUUUCUGAGGGCUAGCUGUAUGUUCAGGGGACUAAAGAGCUCUGGAGGACGGUUGCCCUUGGCCUCCUGGAGCAUCCCCAGGGGAGCCAAGAGAACAUGGAAAACACCUGAAACAGCCAUUACCACCACCUGUGCCUCCCCACGUCAGGGCUCUGCCCCCACCCCACAGUUCCCUCUUCUUCCCCCCCCCCAUCGCAAGAGGGGGGGACUGCUGCUGUGUCCAUGGAAAAGCCUUUCCAAGCCCACAGGUGGAGCUGCCGUGUGCUGUUGCCUUGUGGGUUUGAAGCAUAAAGCCAUAAAUACGCCCGUUCCGAGCACAAUAACUGGAGUUUCUGCCAUCUCCGGCUGCUGGAAAGAGACUCGUGCAACCGAGCAAAGGCCGUUGCGGGCUCCUUGGGACUAGCCUUACUCGGCAGUGGGACAGUGGCCCCCCUCAAGAGACUGACGUAAUUGAGUGAGAUGAGCGGGGAGGUGAGACUUCCCCAGGCUCAGUAUGGUGUGUUCACGGCUGGAAUCAGAGGAUUGCGAAGCAGCAUUUCUACCAGAACCGGCCAGUACGCCGCCCCUCUCCCUCAGCCGUGAGCUGCUUGCGCCAUGCGUGUGCAGGCAGAGGGGGCACCUGUCAGCGACCUAGGUAGUGUGUGAAGAUGUUCUGCAGUUGAGUCUUAGCCCCUUCCUGGGUGUCCUAAGUGCAGUAGCCGUGUCAGUAGCAGCUUUUGCAGUCCCCGCAUAGACUCUGCUGCUGCCCAAGGACUGAGCAGAAGAACUAGGCACAGGCUGGGCGGGUGUGAAAUCCAUUUACGCCUUGUACUUUUGUAACAAAAUAAAGUUUCUCCUAUUUACUGUACAUGGGC